RNAcentral lists this non-coding RNA (183 nucleotides) under Candidatus Brocadia. RNAcentral describes it as "c-di-GMP sequence". It matches the Rfam family "c-di-GMP-I riboswitch aptamer". From Rfam's summary of the family: GEMM was predicted in a large-scale screen for bacterial structured RNA regulatory elements. Genes associated with GEMM are involved in a diverse array of functions, including chemotaxis regulation, signal transduction, secretion and chitin. The record is from RNAcentral. Lineage: Bacteria; Pseudomonadati; Planctomycetota; Candidatus Brocadiia; Candidatus Brocadiales; Candidatus Brocadiaceae.
GUUCGAAAAAGGCAAACCCUGAGUGAUCGGGGGGCGCAAAGGAAAGGGUCUUGAAAUUAUACAGGGAAGUAUGCAAGGAUUAUAAUUCUGGUCUUGAUAGAUAAACCAUACUCUAUCAGGUAACGAAAGUUAAAGUCCUUUAGAUGCACUAAGCAAUUUUCUCAAGAUAGCCUUACUGCCGAA